GCCAUGGCCACGGUGGAAAGAGGGGCCAGAAGUGACUUAGGAGAGAUGGACAGUUCAGCUGAAGGGUAUUACUAACUACUCCCUAUCUGGUGAAAAUAAGUGAGCAAUUAGGGCAGUUACAUUGGACCUGGAGACCAUCAAGUUGUUAAUUGGCGAAAACUGCUGCCUGACUUGAAGCCUUUAAAGAGUUCUUAGUAUCAGACAGGGACAGCCAGGAGACACUACUUGCAUUCGCUUCAGUAAAGGGAACAUCCUGGAGGUUUUUGAAACGUCUUAAAAGUGGUAGCAGACAGCAAAGCUCCUCAGACCCUUCAGAGAAACAGAAGCCUUAGCAUCUGUUUGGCAGUAUUCCUAUGAAAGGAGGAAGUUCCUUUCCAAUGGAGCAAUAGAUUCAGCUAAGGAACUCAAUACUUGAAAAAGGGACCAGAGGAAAAAUGAAUUAAUGAAGCCUUUCCAAGCCCUGACUGUUAUAGAGACCAUCUGUGGUCCGCCUGCCCAGUGCCUUUUAUCUACAGAGGGGUCAUCUCCUUCUUCAAGGAAAUCACAUGUCCCGGACCCUGCUCUUAUGAUUUGGAUGGAAAGGACACAACCCUCUGGCUUUGGUGGGAACUCAGAUCCAACCAAUGAGAACACUGCAUCCCUCGGCCACAGUAACUAAUGCUGAGUUUGACCCUUGACUGAUGCCAGAGCAAACAGAGACAGCCCUGAACCUCUCGCUAAGAUGCUUGGGAGAGAGAUCAUUUCUCUCUGCUGGGAUUGCUAAGCUGGCAACAUGCACGCCCAGAGCUGCUGGAAGUCAUCUUGCUACCACGGGAAGAGAGCCUGCCAGAGAAGACAUCCAACAUAAAGGAGAGCAGAGCCAGGGAUGGACGGAUACUAAUUCCUGAUGACACCAUACGAGUAUCGGGAUCCAGCUACACUUAAAGCCAGAACUACUUGGAUGUUUGUUAUAUGAACAAACAAAAAGUAUUCUGUUGUUGUCCAAGUCGGUAACAACUUGAAUUCUAAGGAUGCUAUACCUGGAAAGGAAGACUACCAAUAUACAAAUUUAUAGCCUAGAGAAAUG
This is a long non-coding RNA of Bos taurus (domestic cattle), 1066 nucleotides long. The record is from Ensembl. NCBI's taxonomy places the organism in Eukaryota, Metazoa, Chordata, Mammalia, Artiodactyla, Bovidae.